Molecule: long non-coding RNA, 199 nt
Filed under: Setaria viridis
Lineage: Eukaryota; Viridiplantae; Streptophyta; Magnoliopsida; Poales; Poaceae
Description: long non-coding RNA (SVIR_LNC007272)
Source: RNAcentral
AUCGAGCACCUGCGGCGCUUCUACCCUUAGGAUUUAAAAGCUAUGUAUUCUUUUUUCCCUUUUUAUUGAAUGAAUAAAACCGCUAAGGUUCUUUGCGUACCUACUUCCUUGUUCUCUUGUUUGAGCUGUUCCUAACGCUCGGGGGUUGUCCGACCUAUUUGACAGACCACUCGCUUUCAUGCUCGGGGGCUUCCCCUAG